Setaria italica (foxtail millet) is the source of this 2782-nucleotide long non-coding RNA. RefSeq lists it as uncharacterized. The record is from RefSeq and is a predicted model, not a curated record. Lineage: Eukaryota; Viridiplantae; Streptophyta; Magnoliopsida; Poales; Poaceae. The transcript is spliced from 2 exons.
GCCAAGACGCGACGGGGCUAACCGCCGCUACGAGACAAGCCAGAGCGAGCAAGGGAAAGCCGGCGGCGCGGAGUAGGACUGAGGAGGCGGUGGACUGGUGGUGGGUGGCGGCCGCAGCCCUAGCUUCUCACGAGACCGCCGCUGCCGGCCGUGGUGGUUAGUUCCGUGCCGUUCUCCAGCGGCUCGAAGUUCAAUGGAUGGAAUGAAUUCGAUCUGCCAUUCCCUUUCCAGGAUAUACGACUCAUGGUUCUGGAAACACACCUUCUAUGCUAAAAAAUGAAGAUGAUUCAGUAAGGGACCAAAAUGUCGAUCUUGAUUCUUGAUGAUGAUCACAUUGAAAACCAGAUGGCAUUUGAUAUCAUCAGUGAUCUGGUUGACAUGAAUAGUAAUCCAAGCAAAGAAAACCUGGAAAAUGGUGAACCUUUUGUUGGCAUGGAGUUUGAAUAAGAGGAAGCUGCAAAGGUGUUCUACAUAGCUUACGCUAGUCAGGUAGGUUUCUCUGUGUGCAUUAGCAAGUCCAGGCGCUCAAGGAAUGAUGAGUCUAUUAUCAUGAGGCGUUUCGUUUGUUCGAAGGAGGAUUUCCAUAAUAAGAAGCAAAACUAUGACACUGGUAAGAGAGAGAGAAGUCAUGCAACAAUAAGGGAGGGUUGUCAUGCAAUGAUUGAAGUAACACAGAAGUACUAUGGGUGGUGGGUUGUGAUCAAGUUGAUCAAAGAACACAAUCAUGUCUUGGAAGCUCCAAGCAUAGUGAGAUAUGUUGCACCUGAGAAAUAUGCACAGUUCGAACCAUUUGUAGGAAUGGAGUUUCCUUCUCAUGAAGCUGCCUAGACAUUCUAUUAUGCCUAUGCCAGCCGUAUGGGCUUUGAAGUGCGAAUCAGAUUAUCCUGCUGUUCACCUAAGGAUGGGACAUUUGUAAUGUGGCGCUUUAAUUGCACCAAAGAAGGGGCUGAUUCCCGUGAAGAAAAUAAUAACGAGAACAAGAGAAAGAGAAAUCGGGCUGCUACAAAAGAAGGCUGCAAAGCAUCAUUUGAGAUAGUAAAAAGAGAACAGGAUAAAUGGGUUGUUUCCAAGCUUUUCUUGGCGCAUACACAUGAGUUGGCUGCUGUACAAGAUGAAGUACAUUACAUUCAGUCAAAUAGUGAGGUUGUUGUUCUUGCAAAGACUAGUGUUCUUCAAGGAAAUUGGAUUGCACCAACCAUGAAUCCACAGCUUGGAGAAUUGGGAAGAAAUUUUGAGGAACUAUCUCCAAAUAAUCAAGAAAUGAUAGAACCUUGCCGUUGUGAUUUUGGGCUGGAUGAUACCCAAAAGCUUCUUGGAUACUUCAAGCGGCUGAAUACUGAGAAUCCUACAUUUUCAUAUGCAUUUCAGGUUGACAAAAAUGAUUGCUUGACACAUGCCUUCUGGGCUGAUGCCAAAGUUAGAACAUCGUACUGCUAUUUUGGGGAUGGUGUUAGACUUGAGACAUCUUUUGUAGAGAAUGACGACGUUUUGCCAUUAGUUUUGUUAACUGGUACAUCACCUGCAAAGUGUAGUAUUUGGUUGUGCAUUACUUACUGAUUUCACAGAAUCCUCUUACAUUUGGUUCUUUCAAAACUGGAUUGCAGCAAUGGGUUCACACCAUCCUACAUCAUUAGCUACAAGUUAUAAUGAAGCCAUUGGUUCAGCAGCAGCAAAAGUAUUUCCUCAGACACACCUUCUGUAUUGUACUUCUCAGAUAUUAAACAGAUGCAAGGAAAAUUUGGUAAACGUAUAUUCUAGAUGUGCUUCUUUUGAAGAGGAAUUUGUUGUGUGCAUUCAUGAGCCUGAAACAACUGAAAUAUUUGAGUCAAGUUGGAAGAAGAUCCUUGAUAAAUUUGAUCUGGCAGCCAACCUAUGGCUCCAGUAUCUAUACAGAAUUUGACAAAGAUGGGUUCCUGUGUACUUCAAAGAUGUUUUUACUGCUGAACUUUCAGCAACUCAGAGACCUGAAAGCUUGGCAAGCUUCUUCAAGAAAUACUUCAACAAAACAACAACUUUGCCAAUCUUCAUCUCAUUAUUUGAACAUGUGAUGGCUGGAUGGGCAGAGAAGGAAGCUCUGGAAGAUCUGGCCACAUCUUUUACCAGACCUAUUUUAAGAACUCCCUCAAACAUGUUGAAACAGGUGUCAGAAAUAUACACGAGAACUGUCUUUAACAUCUUUGAGGAGGAAUUCGUCGAAUCAUUAGGAUAUUACGUUUCCAGCCUUAACAAUGAUGGGCCGAUUGCUGUGCAUAAAAGUCACAAAGGAGGACGCUGAAUCUUCAUUCACCGUCAGCUAUGACACCAUUGACAAGAGAGCUCAAUGCAGUUGCUGUAAGUUCGAGAGUUCUGGUAUUUUAUGUCGGCAUAUACUGAGGUUAUUCUUAGCUCUUGAUGUGCGUGCCAUACCAGAGUUUUACAUACUCAAACGGUGGACGAAAGAAGCGAAGAAUGGUUUUGUGUUGGAUAAAUGUUUGCGAUGUAGUGAGCUGCGCCACGAUGCCCUUAGAUAUGCCAGGGAAGGAUCAACAUCUGGGGAGGUUUUCACCUUUGCACAGCGAACUCUUCAGGCUGCCUUUUCUGACGUUAACAUGAAACAACAAAUUGUUAGUAGAUGUAGAAUGAGAUGAACAUGGCACUAUAGUGCAUUCUUUCUAUAGUCAUGGAGAUAAAGAUAGCUUUCCAGUGCCCUAUCUUUCCUCUGUUGCGUCAAUUCCUGCUUCAUGAACUAUGUGUUUGUAGCUACGGAUGAUUUCCCUGACGAAUUCAGUUUCUUGUCGUUUCA